Molecule: ribosomal RNA, 253 nt
Filed under: uncultured bacterium
Lineage: Bacteria
Description: partial 16S ribosomal RNA
Rfam family: Bacterial small subunit ribosomal RNA
Source: RNAcentral
UACGGAGGGUGCAAGCGUUAAUCGGAAUUACUGGGCGUAAAGCGCCCGCAGGCGGUUUGUUAAGUCUGAUGUGAAAUCCCCGGGCUCAACCUGGGAACGGCAUCUGAUACUGGGAGACUAGAGUACCGUAGAGGGGGGUAGAAUUCCAGGUGUAGCGGUGAAAUGCGUAGAUAUCUGGAGGAAUACCGGUGGCGAAGGCGGGCCCCUGGACGAAGACUGACGCUCAGGUGCGAAAGCGUGGGGAGCGAACGGG